GAUGAACGCUGGCGGCGUGCCUAAUACAUGCAAGUCGAGCGAACAGACGAGGAGCUUGCUCCUCUGACGUUAGCGGCGGACGGGUGAGUAACACGUGGAUAACCUACCUAUAAGACUGGGAUAACUUCGGGAAACCGGAGCUAAUACCGGAUAAUAUAUUGAACCGCAUGGUUCAAUAGUGAAAGACGGUUUUGCUGUCACUUAUAGAUGGAUCCGCGCCGCAUUAGCUAGUUGGUAAGGUAACGGCUUACCAAGGCAACGAUGCGUAGCCGACCUGAGAGGCUGAUCGGCCACACUGGAACUGCGACACGGUCCAGACUCCUACGGGAGGCAGCAGUAGGGAAUCUUCCGCAAUGGGCGAAAGCUUGACGGAGCAACGCCGCGUGAGUGAUGAAGGUCUUCGGAUCGUAAAACUCUGUUAUUAGGGAAGAACAAAUGUGUAAGUAACUAUGCACGUCUUGACGGUACCUAAUCAGAAAGCCACGGCUAACUACGUG
Molecule: ribosomal RNA, 497 nt
Filed under: uncultured bacterium
Lineage: Bacteria
Description: partial 16S ribosomal RNA
Rfam family: Bacterial small subunit ribosomal RNA
Source: RNAcentral